AGGAAGAAUUCCUUUUGCUCGGAGCCCGAGGAUACGGUCCAUCAUAGCGGGAGACGUCCUGACAGCCCGAGUAUGAGGCAGCUGUUUGUGCUGUGUCCACAGUCAGGAAGAGAAGAGGUGAAUGCUGGCGGCCUGCAGCUUUCUUCGAGGGCAAGACGGACAUCACCCACAGUCAGAAUAACAGUGCACACAGAGCCGGUAUCCUGGGGGACCGUAUGGGUGAGAUAGAUGAUGGAAGUGGAAAUACAAGUGACCUAGAUAUACCCCAACCUCUAGCCCCCUCUCCUCCCUUGGCUUUGGAUCAGUAGCCAAAAGAGCUUUCCUCACUGGAAGGCUCAUCCAUCUGCUUGGCUCCAUUUUGGAGAAGCAAACCUCUUCCACAGUCGCCUCUGUGGACCCACCCCUGGGUUGUAAAGGUCUGGAGAUCAGACUCUUCAUCAUUUCACUGUCCUGGCCCUUAUAACCAUAGCCUAGAGUCUAGUCAAAGAAGGUGCUCAGGGGAGAUUUGCAGAACUGGUCAGCCACACUUUCACCCUUUAGUCAGGUGGGAUCCUGGCCCUCCGUCCUGCUGCAUGCUCACUGCACUCAAGCAAAUGCUUGGGAACAAUGCCAGAUCCUAAGUCAGCGAGGGAGCUGCCUUCUAGUCCUUGGGGCCAAUAUUCCCGGCUCUCCGUGACUCCUGUUAGUGCUCGUGCCUAGCACACGUAGGAGGCCCUGGUAAGUAUUUGCUGGAUUUAAAUGAAAGCUCGAAUAGACUCAAGGAGUAAGUGAAGUCUUUGGCUGACCUCAACUAGGAAGAGACCUUGGACGGAACACACAAGGCCGAGUAUGGAAUUUUGUGUUGUACGAUGCCUCUGGAACCUUCCCUCAUCUCCCUGUGCUUCAGCUUUGUUUCAAGGGGAAGCUAGGAUUUGAGUAGAGUCAACGCUUCAAAACGAACUCCUCCCCACCCCGAUAACAUUUCUCUGCUGGCUCUUGUGACUGCCUCUAAGAAGAUAAAUUGAAUCUGGCAAGAUUUUGACCCAGAGGAAGGCUGCUAGGAAAAGAGAAACAUUUAUAGAAGUAUUUUCAUGAAGCCUGUACACCCCCCCAUGCAGACAUGAACCACAUAAUGAUGUUUCCGUCAGUGAUGGACCCCAUAUACAGCUACACAAGUCCCUAAGACUCCAUCGUCAGCUUCCAUAGUAAAUGGGUUGCUACUUUCUGACCUGACUCCCAUGGAAACUAUAAUGGCCAAGAACAUGAACUUUAGGUCAGAUGUCAGAUUCCAGAUCCAAGUUCUACCAACAGGCUUCAGUUUCCUCAAAGAGUUAUUACCUCAGAGGCUGGUUCGGCGGACCGAGUGAGGCAACCGUGCGCAGCACCGGGCACCUGCCUUUAAUAAGUCAUGCAAUCGAUGCUCACCCCGAUUGUCCAGGAAGCAGAGCAAUCCAGUGCACUGGCAAGAAGCCACUGAUCUGUGGGAAGAACAAAGCGCCGGUCCCGCGCUCUGGCUCCAGAGCCCUGCAAAACCUCGAAAAACACAGUUGUCCUCUGCUCCUUCGUAGACUGCGUUUUAUAUACCCAGCUUCAAAACUACUCAAAGACACACGUGUGACUGUUCUUUCAGAGUAUUUGCUGGAUGUUCGAUGGUUCACGUAUGCAGUGGUCUCUAGAUUCCUCCAUUGGAUGCUUGUUCUCCUGGAAAGAUGGAAGCAAAACCUGGCCUCAACCCUGAAUCUGGAGG
Long non-coding RNA from Meriones unguiculatus (Mongolian gerbil), 1726 nucleotides. RefSeq lists it as uncharacterized. NCBI's taxonomy places the organism in Eukaryota, Metazoa, Chordata, Mammalia, Rodentia, Muridae. The record is from RefSeq and is a predicted model, not a curated record. The transcript is spliced from 5 exons.